AUGCUCAUUCUGAUUUUUCUUUCCAUUAUCAAUACUCUGUAAUAAUCGAGAAGCGAAAUUUACUAAACAUCAAGUAUGAAGCGAAUCACCCACCCAAAUAACUUCAUAAUGACAUGCUAUGUGCUAACAAAUUAUAAAAAAAGAGUGUUAAGUAUUAAUGAUUUUCCAACAUAUAUAGUACGCAUAAAAUAAUUGACACAGGGAAGUGAAGAAAAUUCAAAAUUUGAACAGUAUGGCCUCGGUGGAGUUUUGUUCACCACAAAUUAGUGUGAACAAAUGAUCUUAAAAAGACUAAAUGCAUGCAUAUAUAAAACCUUGUAGAGUGAGCAAGGGAAACAAUAUUAUGCAGAAGGAAUAAUAAAACAAACCUAGCUUUUUAGGGGUUCGUGUCUAUGGAAACCUAAGGUAGGUCGUCAAUGACCUGUUUGUUGACUGACUCGCAGAUUCGCCAUGUUUUCACCUCCGGAGAGUGUUGUGUUAAUUGGUUCUUGUAGUUUGCAGAUCUAUCAUGUAAGAGUUUCCUCAACACCAUACAUAAAUGAUCAGAUCACCCACAAGAUCGCCAUUAAUUAGAUGAAGUUUGAAGCGAUGCCGGCCAUCUCUCUCACAUCGAUUAUCAUUUAGGGUUUACGUUCAGAAGACCUACCGGUGGCCGGAGGCUCUAAAACUAAAAGGAAAUCAACAAUAUCAACAUUUCUUGGAUUAAAUAUCACAACUUGACAAGCAGUUUUUCAAGUUAUGCUAAACAAAUAACAAGGGUACCAAUACAUUUUCCAGAUAAAUAUAUAAUUGGUAGUUGUUCGAAUGCUAUUUUUAAUAUAAGUAUAUAUAAUAAAACGUCAAUCAUAGCUCUAAAUUAGGGUUAUGCUUAACAAACUAAUC
RNAcentral lists this long non-coding RNA (882 nucleotides) under Helianthus annuus (common sunflower). RNAcentral describes it as "hypothetical non coding rna". Lineage: Eukaryota; Viridiplantae; Streptophyta; Magnoliopsida; Asterales; Asteraceae. The record is from RNAcentral.